Molecule: long non-coding RNA, 406 nt
Filed under: Pan troglodytes (chimpanzee)
Lineage: Eukaryota; Metazoa; Chordata; Mammalia; Primates; Hominidae
Description: lincRNA
Source: RNAcentral
CACUAGUUGUACCAAUAACUAACCCCAAGGAAUUGGACUCAGAAGAGCAAUACAAAUUGCAGCCUUGCCACUUACGAGCUGAGAGAUCUUAGCCAAAAUAACUCAAUCCGUCUGAGCUGUAUUUUUUAUCAGUCGACUGAAGAUGAAUAAUAUUCAGGCUACAAGUUUAUCAAAGAAUUAAUAGAGAUGGAGUCCAUGUUGCCUCGCCUGGUCUUGGACUAUUGGCCUCAAGCGAUCAUCCUACCUCAGCCUCUUAAAGUGCUAGGAUUCAAGGCCUAAACAGGGACACACAGUGUGGUCCAGAGACCUGGUGACAGUGUGUGAAUUGUUACCAGUUCACAGAGCAGUAAGUAUUACAAAACUUGGGAGUAGGUCAUUAGAAAUUUUAUAGGGAUUUCAGCAAUGU